UUAUAAAAAAAGUUGAAGCAGGAAUUGCUGCAGAUCCCGAUUCAGCCAGAAAAAGAAAUGAAUGGUUUUGUAUUACUGAUAGAGUGCGAAAAUUCAUCGGGGUAAGUUCCAAAUUAUACAGAUAUGUGAAGAUUUCGAUUGUUUUAUAUUUUUGAAAUUUUUUUAAAAGGCUUCAUCUUAAAACAGAAAAUAAUGAAGGAGUUUAGAGAAAAGGUGAAAAAAGAAGAAAAAGAGAAGGAAGCACGCCAAGCUGCACAGACGGAACAAUUAGCUGCAAAGGGGAUUCAUAUUGCGGCGAAGGCUGAGUCAGCAAUUCCUCUUUCUUUCAGGAGACCGGGUGAAGAAGGCGUCCACCCUUUUGAAUCUUCUCAAAUGGUACU
RNAcentral lists this long non-coding RNA (380 nucleotides) under Carica papaya (papaya). RNAcentral describes it as "long non-coding RNA (CPAP_LNC016431)". The record is from RNAcentral. Lineage: Eukaryota; Viridiplantae; Streptophyta; Magnoliopsida; Brassicales; Caricaceae.